RNAcentral lists this ribosomal RNA (509 nucleotides) under uncultured bacterium. Its description in RNAcentral is "bacterial SSU rRNA". It matches the Rfam family "Bacterial small subunit ribosomal RNA", at positions 30 to 526 of the family's 1533-position model. The record is from RNAcentral.
AUUGAACGCUGGCGGCAGGCUUAACACAUGCAAGUCGAGCGGUAGCACAAGAGAGCUUGCUCUCUGGGUGACGAGCGGCGGACGGGUGAGUAAUGUCUGGGAAACUGCCUGAUGGAGGGGGAUAACUACUGGAAACGGUAGCUAAUACCGCAUAACGUCGCAAGACCAAAGAGGGGGACCUUCGGGCCUCUUGCCAUCAGAUGUGCCCAGAUGGGAUUAGCUAGUAGGUGGGGUAAUGGCUCACCUAGGCGACGAUCCCUAGCUGGUCUGAGAGGAUGACCAGCCACACUGGAACUGAGACACGGUCCAGACUCCUACGGGAGGCAGCAGUGGGGAAUAUUGCACAAUGGGCGCAAGCCUGAUGCAGCCAUGCCGCGUGUGUGAAGAAGGCCUUCGGGUUGUAAAGCACUUUCAGCGAGGAGGAAGGUGGUGAGCUUAAUACGCUCAUCAAUUGACGUUACUCGCAGAAGAAGCACCGGCUAACUCCGUGCCAGCCGCCGCCGUAACAC